RNAcentral lists this non-coding RNA (23 nucleotides) under Arabidopsis thaliana (thale cress). Lineage: Eukaryota; Viridiplantae; Streptophyta; Magnoliopsida; Brassicales; Brassicaceae. The record is from RNAcentral.
AGACGUCGCUGCCGUGAUCGUGG